CGUCAAGGGAUGGGAAUCGAACCCACGACCUUCCGCUUACCGGGCAGAUGCCAUGACCACUAGGCCCCAUGAC
Non-coding RNA from Cordylochernes scorpioides, 73 nucleotides. The record is from the annotation of a GenBank genome assembly. Lineage: Eukaryota; Metazoa; Arthropoda; Arachnida; Pseudoscorpiones; Chernetidae.